AACGAACGCUGGCGGCAUGCCUAACACAUGCAAGUCGAACGAGACCUUCGGAUCUAGUGGCGCACGGGUGCGUAACGCGUGGGAACCUGCCCUUAGGUUCGGAAUAACUCCCCGAAAGGGGUGCUAAUACCGGAUAAUGUCUUCGGACCAAAGAUUUAUCGCCUUUGGAUGGGCCCGCGUUGGAUUAGCUAGUUGGUAGGGUAAAAGCCUACCAAGGCGACGAUCCAUAGCUGGUCUGAGAGGAUGAUCAGCCACACUGGGACUGAGACACGGCCCAGACUCCUACGGGAGGCAGCAGUGGGGAAUAUUGGACAAUGGGCGAAAGCCUGAUUCAGCAAUGCCGCGUGAGUGAUGAAGGCCUUAGGGUUGUAAAGCUCUUUUACCCGGGAUGAUAAUGACAGUACCGGGAGAAUAAGCUCCGGCUAACUCCGUG
This 433-nucleotide ribosomal RNA is filed under the name uncultured bacterium. RNAcentral's name for it is "partial 16S ribosomal RNA". It matches the Rfam family "Bacterial small subunit ribosomal RNA", at positions 29 to 507 of the family's 1533-position model. The record is from RNAcentral.